UAGUUUGCAAUACUUUCUUUCAGAAACUGAGCACUGGGUUAAAAGGGCAAGUCUCUCAUCUUCAUUUUUUCAUGAAUACAGAAGAAUAUCAAGCAAGCUGCAAAAAUCCAACAGGAAGCAUUCUGAAAAAUGAAAAUGCAAAAACUAUCUCUUUGUCAACCCAACUUGCUAUGAGUUAAUAAAAUCAGGCUGCAGAAAUGGUCUGACAUUCUUACGAAGUUCAAAAUCCAGCAAUAUCCAUGAGAUUCUGAAAAAGGAAACACAAAGUCCUGCACCAGGGCAG
RNAcentral lists this long non-coding RNA (283 nucleotides) under Cyanistes caeruleus (blue tit). RNAcentral's name for it is "lncRNA (ENSCCEG00000006692.1)". Lineage: Eukaryota; Metazoa; Chordata; Aves; Passeriformes; Paridae. The record is from RNAcentral.